AGCAUAUCAAUAAGCGGAGGAAAAGAAACUAACAAGGAUUCCCCUAGUAACGGCGAGUGAAGCGGGAAGAGCUCAAAUUUAAAAUCUGGCAGUGUAUUCUGUCCGAGUUGUAGUCUAGAGAAGCAUCAUCCGUGCUGGACCAUGUACAAGUCUCUUGGAACAGAGCGUCAUAGAGGGUGAGAAUCCCGUCCUUGACAUGGACUCCCAGUACUUUGUGUUGUGCUCUCAACGAGUCGAGUUGUUUGGGAAUGCAGCUCAAAAUGGGUGGUAAAUUCCAUCUAAAGCUAAAUAUUGGCGAGAGACCGAUAGCGAACAAGUACCGUGAGGGAAAGAUGAAAAGCACUUUGGAGAGAGAGUUAAACAGUACGUGAAAUUGUUGAAAUGGAAACGCUUGAAGUCAGUCGCGUUCUCUGGGAUUCAGCCUUGCUUUUGCUUGGUGCAUUUCCCGGUCUACGGGCCAGCAUGAAUUUUGACCAAUGGAAAAAGGCUUGGGGAAUGUGGCACCUUCGGGUGUGUUAUAGCCCCUUGUCACAUACGUUGGUUGGGAUUGAGGUCUUAGUGCACGCUUCGGUUGUGCUUUGAUGCUGGCGUAAUGGCUUUAAACGACCCGUCUUGAAACACGGACCAAGGAGUCUAACAUGUCUGCAAGUGUUUGGGUGCAAAACCCGAGCGCGUAAUGAAAGUGAUAGUUGGGAACCUCUUCAGAGGGGCACCGACGCCCGGACCAGACCUUCUGUGACGGAUCCGAGGUAGAGCAUAUAUGUUGGGACCCGAAAGAUGGUGAACUAUGCCUGCAUAGGGUGAAGCCAGAGGAAACUCUGGUGGAGGCUCGUACGAUUCUGACGUGCAAAUCGAUCGUCAAAUGUGGGUUAGGGGCGAAAGACUAAUCGAACCAU
Molecule: ribosomal RNA, 896 nt
Filed under: Thanatephorus cucumeris
Lineage: Eukaryota; Fungi; Basidiomycota; Agaricomycetes; Cantharellales; Ceratobasidiaceae
Description: eukaryotic LSU rRNA
Rfam family: Eukaryotic large subunit ribosomal RNA
Source: RNAcentral